Molecule: long non-coding RNA, 179 nt
Organism: Nematolebias whitei (Rio pearlfish)
Lineage: Eukaryota; Metazoa; Chordata; Actinopteri; Cyprinodontiformes; Rivulidae
Exons: 3
Source: RefSeq, a predicted model, not a curated record
GUACACGAGCCAAAAAUAUCAACAGGCGGAGCGUUCUUCUCUCUCUGGUUCUACAUCAUUCUGGGACUGAAGCUUUAUUCCUAUCAGGAAACAAACCACUGGUACCGUCAGGCUCAUUUAGACCAAGACCACAGCGGUUCUGUUGCACAAAACAACCCGAGUGACGCUCUGACUUUGAG